This 329-nucleotide small nuclear RNA is filed under the name Myotis davidii. RNAcentral's name for it is "7SK RNA". It matches the Rfam family "7SK RNA". Rfam says of the family: 7SK was discovered as an abundant small nuclear RNA in the mid-70s but a possible function has only recently been suggested. Two independent studies have found that 7SK RNA binds the CDK9/cyclin T complex (known as elongation factor P-TEFb). Lineage: Eukaryota; Metazoa; Chordata; Mammalia; Chiroptera; Vespertilionidae. The record is from Rfam by way of RNAcentral.
GGAUGUGAGGGCGAUCUGGCUGCGACAUCUGUCACCCCAUUGAUCGCCAGGGUUGAUUCGGCUGAUCUGGCUGGCUAGGCGGGUGUCCCCCUCCUCCCUCACCGAUCCAUGUGCGUCCCUCCCGAAGCUGCGCGCUCGGUCGAAGAGGACGACCUUCCCCCCCGAGGAGAGGACCGGUCUUCGGUCAAGGGUAUACGAGUAGCUGCGCUCCCCUGCUAGAACCUCCAAACAAGCUCUCAAAGGUAGGAUCAUAGUCAUGGGAGGAGGCAUGAACCCAAGGCUGCGGAGUGGCCCAGCAGGCACUGUGAGAGGUCACAAGGUGAUGGAGU